RNAcentral lists this ribosomal RNA (433 nucleotides) under uncultured bacterium. Its description in RNAcentral is "partial 16S ribosomal RNA". It matches the Rfam family "Bacterial small subunit ribosomal RNA", at positions 29 to 507 of the family's 1533-position model. The record is from RNAcentral.
AACGAACGCUGGCGGCAUGCCUAACACAUGCAAGUCGAACGAGACCUUCGGGUCUAGUGGCGCACGGGUGCGUAACGCGUGGGAAUCUGCCCUUGGGUUCGGAAUAACAGUUGGAAACGACUGCUAAUACCGGAUGAUGACGUAAGUCCAAAGAUUUAUCGCCCAGGGAUGAGCCCGCGUAGGAUUAGCUAGUUGGUGGGGUAAAGGCCUACCAAGGCGACGAUCCUUAGCUGGUCUGAGAGGAUGAUCAGCCACACUGGGACUGAGACACGGCCCAGACUCCUACGGGAGGCAGCAGUGGGGAAUAUUGGACAAUGGGCGAAAGCCUGAUCCAGCAAUGCCGCGUGAGUGAUGAAGGCCUUAGGGUUGUAAAGCUCUUUUACCCGGGAUGAUAAUGACAGUACCGGGAGAAUAAGCCCCGGCUAACUCCGUG